AGAUUUUAUGUGGUGCUGCAAAUUUAAGGUUGAGACAAUAUUGGACAACAUAUACGUAUAAACGCUAAAGGUACAGAUACUCAUUUUGGAGAGCCGCCACCUUAGGAUUCUACUCAACGGGUUGAAGUGCUCCAUUGUCUCGGAGCCUAAACUUUUGGUACUAAUCCUUAUAAUGUAUAUAUUUGUGUAUUUAGGGGUACGGCGGGCCCCUGUCCCGUCAUAUGCUAUUGUUAAUCCUCUUAGAGGUCUGUAGACACAUGAGUGGGUUGUAUGUAGAUGUUGUCUGGUGUACUAGUAUGGCUUAUGUUUUUGGACAUUUACAUUCGGAGUGAAAGCCUUGUCGGCUUACGUAUUAUGUUAUCUUAUUUUUGACAAUUAAGACUCCCCAAGAAAUAGCUGAUUUUGGUAUAUAUAUAAGUGACCGUUUGAGACAACGUGCUACCCAUAUAAAUUCUA
This is a long non-coding RNA of Solanum dulcamara, 456 nucleotides long. RefSeq lists it as uncharacterized. Lineage: Eukaryota; Viridiplantae; Streptophyta; Magnoliopsida; Solanales; Solanaceae. The record is from RefSeq and is a predicted model, not a curated record. The transcript has 3 exons.